Molecule: ribosomal RNA, 485 nt
Filed under: uncultured bacterium
Lineage: Bacteria
Description: bacterial SSU rRNA
Rfam family: Bacterial small subunit ribosomal RNA
Source: RNAcentral
ACUCAAAUGAAUUGACGGGGGCCCGCACAAGCAGCGGAGCGUGUGGUUUAAUUCGAGGCUACACGAAGAACCUUACCUGGGCUUGACAUCACGGUGGUAGCGACCCGAGAGGGGAGCGACCUUCGGGAGCCGUGACAGGUGCUGCAUGGCUGUCGUCAGCUCGUGUCGUGAGAUGUCCGGUUAAGUCCGGUAACGAGCGCAACCCUCGCCGUCAGUUACAAGUUGUCUGGCGGGACUGCCCGUUGAACGCGGGAGGAAGGUGGGGAUGACGUCAAGUCAGCAUGGCCCGUAUGUCCAGGGCGACACACACGCUACAAUGGCCGGUACAAUGGGUCGCCAACCCGCGAGGGGGAGCCAAUCCACCAAAGCCGGUCUCAGUUCGGAUUGCAGGCUGCAACCCGCCUGCAUGAAGUCGGAGUUGCUAGUAACCGCCGGUCAGCCAUACGGCGGUGAAUACGUUCCCGGGCCUUGUACACACCGCCCGU